Small nucleolar RNA from Gopherus evgoodei (Goodes thornscrub tortoise), 78 nucleotides. The record is from Ensembl. Lineage: Eukaryota; Metazoa; Chordata; Testudines; Testudinidae.
AGCCAGUGAUGAGCUACAUUAUUUCUGAAACCUCACCUGAAAACUGUACCUGCAGUAUUUGACACUUUUUUGAAGCUC